Cloeon dipterum is the source of this 286-nucleotide long non-coding RNA. RefSeq lists it as uncharacterized. The transcript has 3 exons. The record is from RefSeq and is a predicted model, not a curated record. Lineage: Eukaryota; Metazoa; Arthropoda; Insecta; Ephemeroptera; Baetidae.
CGUCGACUGCCCGAAAUUAUGCGAUAAAGAUGUAUGUUCGUUCUUUAGAAAACGAUUCAAUUUAUCCUUUUUAAAAGGUUUCCUUAUUUGACCCGGCUGGAAAUUUAAUAAAUAAAACCUCUUACGGAAUUUGGAUCGAGAUCGGCAACUACACUUAUCUCCUGGGAAACAAGCCGAUGUCCUGGCUGUCCAACUACCUCCGUUGCUGCGCCUUGGGAAUGGAGACGCUCAACAUUGACAACUUGGCCGAGCAAAAAGGCCUGAAUAAAUUUUCUCUCGACUUCAA